UACGGGGGGGGUAAGCGUUGUUCGGAAUUACUGGGCGUAAAGGGCUCGUAGGCGGCCAACUAAGUCAUACGUGAAAUCCCUCAGCUUAACUGGGGAACUGCGUGUGAUACUGGAUGGCUUGGAUUUGGGAGAGGGAUGUGGAAUUCCAGGUGUAGCGGUGAAAUGCGUAGAUAUCUGGAGGAACACCGGUGGCGAAGGCGGCAUCCUGGACCGGUAUUGACGCUGAGGCGCGAAAGCCAGGGGAGCAAACGGG
Molecule: ribosomal RNA, 253 nt
Filed under: uncultured bacterium
Lineage: Bacteria
Description: partial 16S ribosomal RNA
Rfam family: Bacterial small subunit ribosomal RNA
Source: RNAcentral